RNAcentral lists this non-coding RNA (75 nucleotides) under unclassified sequences. Its description in RNAcentral is "RAGATH-18 RNA". It matches the Rfam family "RAGATH-18 RNA". Rfam says of the family: Actinobacteria, Firmicutes, Fusobacteria, Thermotogae (1 example). Nearby to self-cleaving ribozyme genes The record is from Rfam by way of RNAcentral.
CCUAUGGAGAGUAGAAGAACUUGUGAGUAGUAUUUGAAUUUAGUCCAUACGAAAGCGUACUUGAUGAAGUAGGAA